GUACAAGGCCCACCAAGGCGAAGAUCGGUAUCCGGCCUGAGAGGGCGCACGGACACACUGGAACUGAAACACGGUCCAGACUCCUACGGGAGGCAGCAGUGGGGAAUUUUGCGCAAUGGGGGAAACCCUGACGCAGCAACGCCGCGUGCGGGAUGAAGGCCUUCGGGUUGUAAACCGCUUUCAGCAGGGACGAAAAUGACGGUACCUGCAGAAGAAGCCCCGGCUAACUACGUGCCAGCAGCCGCGGUAAUACGUAGGGUGCGAGCGUUAAUCGGAAUUACUGGGCGUAAAGCGUGCGCAGGCGGUCUCGUAAGCUGGGUGUGAAAGCCCCGGGCUUAACCUGGGAAUGGCAUUCAGGACUGCGAGGCUCGAGUGUGGCAGAGGGAGGUGGAAUUCCACGUGUAGCAGUGAAAUGCGUAGAGAUGUGGAGGAACACCGAUGGCGAAGGCAGCCUCCUGGGCCAGCACUGACGCUCAUGCACGAAAGCGUGGGGAGCAAACAGGAUUAGAUACCCUGGUAGUCCACGCCCUAAACGAUGUCAACUGGUUGUUGGUGGGGUUAAACCCAUUAGUAACGAAGCUAACGCGUGAAGUUGACCGCCUGGGGAGUACGGCCGCAAGGUUAAAACUCAAAGGAAUUGACGGGGACCCGCACAAGCGGUGGAUGAUGUGGAUUAAUUCGAUGCAACGCGAAGAACCUUACCUACCCUUGACAUGCCAGGGAGCCCGCUGAGAGGUGGGUGUGCCCGAAAGGGAGCCUGGACACAGGUGCUGCAUGGCUGUCGUCAGCUCGUGUCGUGAGAUGUUGGGUUAAGUCCCGCAACGAGCGCAACCCUUGUCACUAGUUGCUACGCAAGGGCACUCUAGUGAGACUGCCGGUGACAAACCGGAGGAAGGUGGGGAUGACGUCAAGUCCUCAUGGCCCUUAUGGGUAGGGCUUCACACGUCAUACAAUGGCGCAUACAGAGGGCUGCCAACCCGCGAGGGGGAGCCAAUCCCAGAAAGUGCGUCGUAGUCCGGAUUGCAGUCUGCAACUCGACUGCAUGAAGUCGGAAUCGCUAGUAAUCGCGGAUCAGCAAUGUCGCGG
Molecule: ribosomal RNA, 1086 nt
Filed under: uncultured Massilia sp.
Lineage: Bacteria; Pseudomonadati; Pseudomonadota; Betaproteobacteria; Burkholderiales; Oxalobacteraceae
Description: bacterial SSU rRNA
Rfam family: Bacterial small subunit ribosomal RNA
Source: RNAcentral